Molecule: non-coding RNA, 72 nt
Organism: Araneus ventricosus
Lineage: Eukaryota; Metazoa; Arthropoda; Arachnida; Araneae; Araneidae
Source: the annotation of a GenBank genome assembly
UCAGUGGAAUCGGGUUUCGAACCUGUAACCGUCUGUCUCCGAGACCGACACCAUACCACAAGGCCUCCGCGG